This 205-nucleotide ribosomal RNA is filed under the name uncultured bacterium. RNAcentral describes it as "partial 16S ribosomal RNA". It matches the Rfam family "Bacterial small subunit ribosomal RNA", at positions 1296 to 1500 of the family's 1533-position model. The record is from RNAcentral.
GAUUGCAGGCUGCAACCCGCCUGUAUGAAGUUGGAAUCGCUAGUAAUCGCGGAUCAGCAUGCCGCGGUGAAUACGUUCCCGGGCCUUGUACACACCGCCCGUCACACCAUGAGAGUCGGGAACACCCGAAGUCCGUAGCCUAACCGCAAGGAGGGCGCGGCCGAAGGUGGGUUCGAUAAUUGGGGUGAAGUCGUAACAAGGUAUC